RNAcentral lists this Y RNA (102 nucleotides) under Propithecus coquereli (Coquerel's sifaka). Its description in RNAcentral is "Y RNA (ENSPCOG00000004837.1)". It matches the Rfam family "Y RNA". From Rfam's summary of the family: Y RNAs are components of the Ro ribonucleoprotein particle (Ro RNP), in association with Ro60 and La proteins. The Y RNAs and Ro60 and La proteins are well conserved, but the function of the Ro RNP is not known. Lineage: Eukaryota; Metazoa; Chordata; Mammalia; Primates; Indriidae. The record is from Rfam by way of RNAcentral.
GGCUGGUCCAAGUGCAGUGGUGUUUACAACUAAUUGAUCACAACCAGUUACAAAUUCCCUUGUUCCUCCUCCACUCCCACUGCUUCACUUGACUAACCUUAA